RNAcentral lists this ribosomal RNA (150 nucleotides) under Mucor exponens. Its description in RNAcentral is "5.8S ribosomal RNA". It matches the Rfam family "5.8S ribosomal RNA". From Rfam's summary of the family: 5.8S ribosomal RNA (5.8S rRNA) is a component of the large subunit of the eukaryotic ribosome. It is transcribed by RNA polymerase I as part of the 45S precursor that also contains 18S and 28S rRNA. RNAcentral also lists the same sequence under 1 other name. Lineage: Eukaryota; Fungi; Mucoromycota; Mucoromycetes; Mucorales; Mucoraceae. The record is from RNAcentral.
AACUUUUAACAACGGAUCUCUUGGUUCUCGCAUCGAUGAAGAACGUAGCAAAGUGCGAUAACUAGUGUGAAUUGCAUAUUCAGUGAAUCAUCGAGUCUUUGAACGCAUCUUGCGCCUUUUGGUAUUCCAAGAGGCACGCCUGUUUCAGUA